AGUCACUGACAUUAGAUACCCCUGUAGUCCCAGCCGUAAACUAUGCGCGUUAGGUGUACUGGUGACCACGAGUCACCGGGGUGCCGAAGGGAAACCGUGAAACGUGCCGCCUGGGAAGUACGGUCGCAAGGCUGAAACUUAAAGGAAUUGGCGGGGGAGCACCGCAACGGGAGGAGCGUGCGGUUUAAUUGGAUUCAACACCGUAAACUCACCAGGGAAGACUGUUACAUGAAGGCCGAGCUAAAGACUCUGCUAGAUUUUCAG
This 264-nucleotide ribosomal RNA is filed under the name uncultured archaeon. RNAcentral's name for it is "partial 16S ribosomal RNA". It matches the Rfam family "Archaeal small subunit ribosomal RNA", at positions 718 to 982 of the family's 1478-position model. The record is from RNAcentral.